UUUUUUUUCAACAUUUCAUGUAGUAGUAUAUAAAUAUAUCGUUUUAUGCAUGCCAAAAAAAUAUAUAUCGUUUCAUUCUAAAACCUUUUAAACCGCCUAAAAUUGUAUAGUCCCCGACUACGUGUUUUAGGCGCUAGGCGGAGGGUCACCACCCACUUACCGUCUAGCGCUUUCUUGAACACUGAUUAUAUGUAAAUUA
RNAcentral lists this small RNA (199 nucleotides) under Arabidopsis thaliana (thale cress). RNAcentral's name for it is "ATSL214560". Lineage: Eukaryota; Viridiplantae; Streptophyta; Magnoliopsida; Brassicales; Brassicaceae. The record is from RNAcentral.